AUUGAACGCUGGCGGAAUGCUUUACACAUGCAAGUCGAACGGCAGCACGGACUUCGGUCUGGUGGCGAGUGGCGAACGGGUGAGUAAUGCAUCGGAACGUGCCCAGUCGCGGGGGAUAACGUAGUGAAAAUUACGCUAAUACCGCAUACGAUCUAUGGAUGAAAGCGGGGGAUCGCAAGACCUCGCGCGAUUGGAGGGGCCGAUAUCAGAUUAGGUAGUUGGUGGGGUAAAGGCCCACCAAGCCAACGAUCUGUAGCUGGUCUGAGAGGACGACCAGCCACACUGGAACUGAGACACGGUCCAGACUCCUACGGGAGGCAGCAGUGGGGAAUUUUGGACAAUGGGCGAAAGCCUGAUCCAGCCAUUCCGCGUGCAGGAUGAAGGCCCUCGGGUUGUAAACUGCUUUUGUACAGAACGAAAAGGUUUCUACUAAUACUAGGAGCUCAUGACGGUACUGUAAGAAUAAGCACCGGCUAACUACGUGCCAGCAGCCGCCGUAA
RNAcentral lists this ribosomal RNA (500 nucleotides) under uncultured bacterium. Its description in RNAcentral is "partial 16S ribosomal RNA". It matches the Rfam family "Bacterial small subunit ribosomal RNA", at positions 30 to 523 of the family's 1533-position model. The record is from RNAcentral.